AAUAAAGAUCUGGAGGAGAUAUUCUCUCCAUAAAUUAGGAGAUUAGGGAGACUGCAAUGCCUGUUGGAACCUGAGCAAGAUGUGAUACAUUAACUACUGUAUGUUCAUGCCCACAUUUACUGAGGAGUGAUUUUCUUGGCAAUGCAUCUAAUUUUCCUUGUUGUGGUCCACCUAAGUAGAUAAUUAAUUAUGAAAGGUACCUUUUCCUCUGGACUUGCUGACUGCACAGCCUGGCUGAAUGCCCAUCAUACUGCCUUAUCUUGCUCUUGUGUCGGAGUUCAGGCGCUAACAGGUGGUACCAGAUCGAUGCUGAGCAGUACUUCUGGGGAGGUGACACUCCGCCCUAGUACUUUGCUUACUGAUUUUCAGUUUCUCACAUGAAGCAGAAGCUAAUCAUGAUGUCUCAUCAUCAAAGUUAUUUCUCACUGGACUACUCAGAGGUGUUGUUGUCAAACCUUCCCAGCUACAUUGGUUAAUCCAUUCCAAGUGCCAGUAGUUAUCCUGAGCUCCAUGCUGACUGCUAUGACAUGAAACUUCAGAAUCUGUGCACCUCUGAUGUCAUCAGGAGCCAUUGAUGUCAGAGCGGCUUCUGCGCAGCGUGAAGGUCCGUGUCAACUCAUCACAUUACCUCUGCAUGAAAGAGAGGUUUGCCGAGCAACUUUAUCAAGAGUAACAUUAUCAAGAGCUUUCCUGCAAGCUUCUUUAUCAUAUUCACAUCCGUGUCUGCUCGACACUUGUCACUGUCAAUCAAAUCG
This is a long non-coding RNA of Gallus gallus (chicken), 755 nucleotides long. NCBI's taxonomy places the organism in Eukaryota, Metazoa, Chordata, Aves, Galliformes, Phasianidae. The record is from Ensembl.